GACGAACGCUGGCGGCGUGCUUAACACAUGCAAGUCGAGCGGAGCGGCGAACGGGUGAGUAACGCGUGAGUAACUGCCCCCCUCUCUGGGAUAACAGUUGGAAACUGCUGCUAAUACCGGAUAGUGGGGGAUGACUCGGGUCCUAUCAGCUUGUUGGUGGGGUAGUGGCCUACCAAGGCGACGACGGGUAGCCGGCCUGAGAGGGGGAACGGCCACAUUGUGCUGAGAUACGGACCAAACUCCUACGGGGGGCAGCAGGGGGGAAUAUUGGGCAAAGGGGGAAACGCUGAGGCAGCAACGCCGCGUGGGGGAUGACUGCCUUGGGGUUGUAAACCGCUUGUAGCCAUGACGCGUUAGUGGCAGAAGAAGCACCGGCUAACUACGUGCCAGCAGCCGCGGUAAUAC
RNAcentral lists this ribosomal RNA (405 nucleotides) under uncultured bacterium. Its description in RNAcentral is "partial 16S ribosomal RNA". It matches the Rfam family "Bacterial small subunit ribosomal RNA", at positions 28 to 526 of the family's 1533-position model. The record is from RNAcentral.